Aromia moschata is the source of this 93-nucleotide non-coding RNA. The record is from the annotation of a GenBank genome assembly. Lineage: Eukaryota; Metazoa; Arthropoda; Insecta; Coleoptera; Cerambycidae.
ACCACGGCGAUAGCUAAAUGGGUAAAGCGCCAGGUGAGCAGAUGGCGACUCUGAGAGCUAUUAUCUGCGCGGGUUCGAAUCCCAUCUGUGGUA